AGAGUUUGAUCAUGGCUCAGGACGAACGCUGGCGGCGUGCUUAACACAUGCAAGUCGAACGGAAAGGCCCUUCGGGGUACUCGAGUGGCGAACGGGUGAGUAACACGUGGGUGAUCUGCCCUGCACUUUGGGAUAAGCCUGGGAAACUGGGUCUAAUACCGAAUAGGACCGCAUGCUUCAUGGUGUGUGGUGGAAAGCUUUUGCGGUGUGGGAUGGGCCCGCGGCCUAUCAGCUUGUUGGUGGGGUAAUGGCCUACCAAGGCGACGACGGGUAGCCGGCCUGAGAGGGUGUCCGGCCACACUGGGACUGAGAUACGGCCCAGACUCCUACGGGAGGCAGCAGUGGGGAAUAUUGCACAAUGGGCGCAAGCCUGAUGCAGCGACGCCGCGUGGGGGAUGACGGCCUUCGGGUUGUAAACCUCUUUCAGUAUCGGCGAAGCUCCAGGAUUUUUCUUGGGGUGACGGUAGGUACAGAAGAAGCACCGGCCAACUACGUGCCAGCAGCCGCGGUAAUACGUAGGGUGCGAGCGUUGUCCGGAAUUACUGGGCGUAAAGAGCUCGUAGGUGGUUUGUCACGUUGUCCGUGAAAACUCACAGCUUAACUGUGGGCGUGCGGGCGAUACGGGCAGACUGGAGUACUGUAGGGGAGACUGGAAUUCCUGGUGUAGCGGUGGAAUGCGCAGAUAUCAGGAGGAACACCGGUGGCGAAGGCGGGUCUCUGGGCAGCAACUGACGCUGAGGAGCGAAAGCGUGGGGAGCGAACAGGAUUAGAUACCCUGGUAGUCCAA
RNAcentral lists this ribosomal RNA (787 nucleotides) under uncultured bacterium. Its description in RNAcentral is "bacterial SSU rRNA". It matches the Rfam family "Bacterial small subunit ribosomal RNA", at positions 8 to 798 of the family's 1533-position model. The record is from RNAcentral.